UUUUUCUUUUUUUUUGACCACACCCAUGGCAUAUGGACGUUCCCAGGCCAGGGCUUGAACCAGAGCUGCAGCUGCAGCUUAACCCACCACGCCACAGCGGGAACUCUGAAAAACACACAUGAGCAGGAAGCCAGCAGAGCUGGGUGACUUUCUCUCCGAGUGCCGUGCCACCUCACACACAUCCGAUGGAAUGUAUUCCCUGCCCAUCACUGCCCCACCCUGUCACCACGUCCCAGACGCCAUGGACAGUUCAGGCUGUUGUCAAGGGCGGACAGAAAGCCAGACUCUAAGCUGCCGUGAAUCUACUAACACAAAUUCAGCCUUUUCCUGGCAACCCUUCCCCAGACAUCCCCCGUACUCAGAAGUGUUCACAUUUUAACCUGUCUCAGGUGCACAGGAGUGCCAGGGGAGAUAAGGAGCUGUGAAUAAUUAACUGAUAGCAAUAGCUGAAAAUUUCCCAGCACCACCACCCCCCACCCCCCGGCUCACAGGGAUUGCCUAUUCCCCCACCCUCCUCCACCUAGGGCUGCCAGAUUGAGCAAAAUGUUAAAAACACAGGGUGCCCAGUCUAAAUUUGAAUUUCAGGAGUUCCCAAGGGCUCAGCAGGUUAAGGAUCCCGCAGUGUCACUGCAGCAGCUUGGGUCGCUGCUGUGGCACAGGUUUGAUCCCCGACCCAGGAGAUUCUACAUACUCCAGGCAUGGCAAUGAAUGAAUGAAUUUGAGUUGCAAAUAAACAAAAUAAUCUUUUAAUAGAGCAUGUCCAUGUAAACAAAUUACUCAUUGUCCAUCUGAAAUUAAAAUUUAAUUGGGCCUCUUGUAUUUGGUCUGAUGCCCUCUUCCACCCACCACUCUCAAAGCCCACUCUUUCGGAAGGGGUUUCCACAGUGGCUCCCCAGGCACAGAGUUCUUUCCUUUUGACCACGGCCUUCCCUCUCCCCCAGUUCACACCCCCCACACCCCAAAGGGAAGCUAAGGACCAGAUAAGGACAGCAGCCAAGACAGCGGAGUAAAGAGACCCAGAGCUCAGCUCCUCUCAUGAACACAUCAAGGUCACAACCACCUGCAGAACAAAUACUGAUGAAAACGCCUGGAACCCACCAGAAAAGAUCUUCUACAGCCCAAGGCUUAAAGAAGGACCCACAACCUGGCCGUCAAAAGGGCAUACUCACGACAAAUCAAACCCCGUACCCACCCCAGCUGGGCGACCCACAAACCGGAGAAUAGCCAUAGCACAAAGCUUCUUCCAUAGGAGUCAGAGAUCUGAGCCCAUCGGGAUAACCAGCCCAGGGGCCUGGCACCUGGAAGAUGAGCCCCAAAAGCAUUUGGCUUUGAGGGCCCAGGAAGCUUGACUGCAGGAGCUCCACAGACCCAGGAGCAGGCUUAACAGGCACACAAAAUCCCACACACACCAGGGCCCAGGGCAGAGCAGUUACUUGAUAAAAGCCUGAGCCAGGCCUACCUGCUGGUCUUGCAGAGUCUCCUGGAGAGGGAGCUAUGGCUCGCCCUGGGGACACAGACACUGGCGGCAGCCAUCCCUGGGAGCUACUUCAACUGCGUGGACUCUUGCUCAGACGAUCCCAGGGCUGGUGGGAGCCGUCUGGAAAGUCUCCCUCCAGCUCAUUAGUCCAAUAGCCUGCAGGUGCAGCACUGAGACAGCUCAGGCCAAACAACCAAGUGGGUGGGGACCCAGCCCAAGCCAUCAGCAGACAGGCUGCCUAAAGGCCUCUGGAGCCCACAGCUGCCUCUAGACAAGGCCCUAAACAGGGCCCUGCCCACUGCAGGGCCAGGACCCAGCUCCACCCACCACUGGGCAGGCACCAGCCCUUCCCACCCAGAAGCCUGCACAGGCCUUUAGACCAGCCUCAGCUACCAAGGGGGCAGACACCAGGAGCAGAAAACUACCACCCCAACCUGCAAGCCGAGUUCCCCAACAGCCAGCCAGACCCCACCCUGGGACCAGCUGGACCCUGGCCCUGCCCACUAGCAGACCAAUGCAACCUUCAGGGCACUCCAGAGCACAUACCUAACUUUGUCAGGAAAAGCCCAGCUCCCAGAAAUCUGAAAUGAGCUCCAAGAUCCCUGGGCCCUGCAGCCAGACUCCAAGAUCCAGCUCUUCCUGACAGUAAUCCAGGGCUAGCCCCAGGAUCUGGCUUCACCUGCCAGUGGGUGGGCAGCAGCCCCAGCAUCUUUGAGACCCUACCUCCACCCAUCAGUAAGACAGCACCAACUCCUGGAACUCUUGGAUUCCAUAACCAGCUGCCUCAUGACCAAACCCUGCUAGGCAACAGCUAGCAACAUCCACACAAGGCAAGUCCUGUCAAGCAACCAGACUAUGGGCCAACCAAGCCUGCCAGAUCGCCCCAUGGUGGGCCUGCCACAACAGAAGAACCACGCAGCCCUCUGAGAGGGAACCCCUAGCGCACAGAGCUUGGGUGACGAGAGGGGAGAGCCCUGCUGGCACACACAGGACGCCUCCUAAAGAGGGCCACCUCUCCAAGGUCGAGAAACCUAACUAACCCACGCCAGGCGUAAAAAUGCAAAUCACACCUGAGACUGAGGGGGGAAGGAACCUGUCCCAGAUGAAGGAAGAAGAUAAAAGCAGAAGAACGAAGUGAGGUGGAGAUUGGCAGAAUCCACCCCAAAAAGAGCUCAGAGCAGCGAUGAUAAAGCCGACCUAAGAGCUCCAGAGGGGAGAGGACGCACAGAGCGAGGAGCCAGACGUUCUCAACACGGAGUUAGAAGAUAUAAAGAACCCAAGCAGAGAGGAAGAAUACAAACCUGAAAGGAAAAACACCCUAGAGGAAAUCUGUGUAGACCAAACGAUUCCGAGGAUCCGACCCAGGAGCUGGAGGACCGAGUAGCGGAAGUCGCUGCCCCUCGACAGAGAAAAGGGCCCCGGGGGGACUGCAUCAGCCCAGCCUCUCUUUGCACCUGGAAUCGCUGCUCCCUCUGACCACCAGGUCCUGCACGCAGGGGUCUCAGUGCUUCUCCCUCUUACCCAGCCCCUAGGGCGUCCCGGCAUCACACACACUGUUUCCGCACACAGAUCUGUAGGACACGAGAUUUGGUCUGCUCAGAAUCCUUUCCUUCCGGGACCUACUCGUCCACUUCCUGUGUUUCAAGAGCUGCUGGUCCUUUCUCACGCCACCCUUGGGAUGUGGCCAUGAGACUUCACCCUAGCCAGUCAGAGGAAUUCAUCUUCCAGACCCCAGAGUUUUUGUUUUGUUUUUGUUUUUGUUUUGUUUUUGUCUUUCGAGGGCCGCACCUGCGGCAUAUGGAGGUUCCCAGGCUAGGGGUCUAAUCGGAGCUGUAGCCACUGGCCUAUGUCACAGCCACAGCAACACCAGAUCUGAGCCGUGUCUGCGACCUACACCACAGCUCUCAGAAACGCCGGAUCCUUAAACCACUGAGCAAGGCCAGGGAUCGAACCCGCAACCUCAUGGUUCCUAGUAAGAUUCGUUUCUUCUGCACCACGACGGGAACUCCCAGACCCAAGAGAUUGUUCAAAGCUUGACACAGGCUCAGGGUCAGGUCAGAGCCCUCUCCCAACUUCCCUGCAGGAGUUGUUAGUAAAGACUCCACCUUGCCUUUGGGAGCAUCGGCCGUAGGUAUGGUUCACGUUGACACCCCUUAUGGUCAUCUUCUCUGACACAUAGGGGCCCUCUCUGAAAUAAGAGCAAAAAGAAACUAUAAAAAGAGCCACAGAGAGGAGAGAGAGUGAAAACCCCGAUGACACUGUUAGAAAGAGCCAGGCAGACCUAACGAGAAAUGAGAAGAAAGAAAGAAGGAAAGAAGGAAGGAAGGAAGGAAGGAAGGAAGAAAGAAAGAAAGAAAAGAAAACAAAGAAAAAAGAAAAGAAAAGAAGGAAGGGGAGUCUCCUCGUGGUGCAGCAGGUUAAGGACCCAGCAUUGUCCCCGCAGGGGCUUGGGUGGCUGCUCUGGCUCGGGCCGGGUCCCUGGCCUAGGAGUGUCUGCAUGCCAUGGGUGUGUCCAAAAAGGAAAAAAUUAAAAAGGAGCAAAGAAUGUAGUGAGUCAUUCAAUUUUUGCUCAAACUAGUUUGAUGUGAAAGUGAAUCCUGAGUGAAAUUCCGUGUCUGACGUUCUCUUUAACAGGCCUCCCUUGGUCCUGUGAAAACCCGGCUGCGUGGCAGGGCAUCUGUUUCCCUGUUCCCCAAGUCUCUGUGACAUUCAGGAGUUGGUCUGCUGAGAACAUUCAAGUUCUUUUGGGGGCAACACAGCCCGGCUCUGGGGGUUCCGCCAGCCCAUCCGCCCUGCACACACUGCUCUUUGAGUCCACACACAGCCAUGCAGGUUCCUACACAGACGGCAGACGUACCCACAGUCCAUGUGCCCCGCAUGCUAUGUAGACAACUCCCAGACGUGGGGACACCAAGCUUCCUGUGUGAGGAAGAGUUCUAACCCUUACUGUCCUGGGGUCCCAACUGGAUCCCUCGAGGCUGGUCCCUUGUGUUCUGAUGGCUGACCACAGCCAGCAGAUUUCUGGAGCUGGUACAUGUGGAAUCAACUUGUGAGGAGACACAACUGCAAUGACAAAGUGUGAAAAGCAACAGGGGGUGUCUGCCACCUUUUUGUGGGCACCGAGGGGCCAAGGCAGCAUCAGGGCUCGGAGGCCCCGGAUGCUCACAGGGACAGCCGGGGGCGGGGGGCAGGUUUGUGGCACUUGCAGUGUCUGAGGACCGUGCUCUGCGGGCCGAGCGUGGGAGCGAAGCGGUCUCUGAGGAACCCCGAAACUGAUGGGGCUCCCGACUUAACUUCGAGGUCCCCAUCUGUAAAUGAGGGCUGGGAGCUGACCACACCUAUUCCUUUUUCCUUCCUUUCUCUACAGAAGGGACCAAAGCAGGAAAAAGAGGCUAUGAGUGAGCGCUUAGAACGGACCCAUCUUUCCAGAAAGAAAUGUCUGUUCACAGCACGGCUGGGGACACGAGUGACAGGCUAUUGCCAUAGCGCUACAUCAGGUCACAGCAGAGUGCCCAAGACCACGGUUCUGUGACAGGCCGGGGCUCCUCCCAGACAUGGAAAUCUGAGAAGUCUCUAGAAAGGUGGAUGCUACUCAUAGCUACUGCGUAUUUAAGCAGCAAUGAAUGGUUCACAGUCAGAGGGCCAUUCCGUUACUUCGGAGUCCAAUCCAUCCUUUCAGUGUUGACCCUGAUGUGCUUCCCAUUAGCCCAUCUUGCAGAAGGAGCACAAUCCACAUUUUAUUCUAUUAAGAACUUACUUUAUAGGAAAAACCUGUCAGAAUCACAAGCUUGGCGUAAUUGAUGUAAUGCAUAGAGGAGCUGCUGAAACAAGCCUCUACACCGCAGGAGGUUAUAAGCAGCCUGGGGCGGAGCGGGGGCAGGGCACUGCACACGUGACCUUGGCUGCUGAUGGCUGCGGUGGUUGCUCCCGGGGCCCAUCCCACGUGGCCGUCCUGCGUCUAGGUUCCAAGUCUUCCUUCGCUCUGCUCUCUAGUCGGCUUUCUGUUUGUCUUCUCCGCCUCCUGGUGUGAAUUCGUCUCCUAUCUCAACGCGCCCCUCCUUCCACCCUCUGCCUCCCCACCCCCAUCCUCACCCGCCUGACCCCCCAUCCUUGGCCGCACUUCUCGGCUCCCCAUCCCUCGCUCCUAACGGCCUUGUCCCCUAGGUCCUCUGUCCCUCUGCCUUUUCCACGUGAAGCCUUCUCUCGGAUCCCUGCCCUUAUGACUUUGGCCCAUAAUUAGACAUUUUGGCUCCUCUUUCUGCUGUCAGUGAAAAUUCAAUGGGCAACCAAGUUAAGAAGAAAAAGGGAAGGUUCUUUGAGUCCCACUCAAAUGAUAACCUGGGAGACAGCCUCUUCGAAGCCCUGAAGAUUUGCUCUGCCUGUUACAAGGUCAAAGGCACAGUCACAUACGCUUUGAGACAAAGGAUCAUGCAUCCAAAUGACAGACCGAUAUUUUAUUUUCUGAUUACCGUGUAGUUGACUUAGUGUUGUGUCCAUUUCUGCUGGACAGCAUGGAAGCCAGUCCUACAUAUACAUAGAUUCUUCGUCUCGUACUAUCUUCCGUCACGACAUACUGACACUGCACAGAAAGUUCACCAAAGAUGCACAGCAGGUCAGCAGGUACAAAGCGAGCAGUCAGGCCAGACGGGCUUAGGAGCCACUGCUACUCUUUUAAGGCGAUCUCAUCUUUGGGGAGCUCUGGUUACCGUGUGUGCACGUGGCAUGAAAGGGGGGACGCCAACACCAACACAGAGAGCGCAUUUCAUGUUUAAAUGUUCUUGUCCUGCCUUGAAAUACAAAUUCUGCUUCGUCAGGGUCCGUUAUUCCAGCUGGCAUUGACAGAAAAGGAGUUCCUUCUGCGGAAUUUCUUCUCGCUGCAACGCCACGUCUCCUACGUUACACAUCUGAACACCCUGCAUCAGACUCUCUUUGAGACUCCCAGGGGGAGACUCUCAAACCCCAGGUCCUGGAAUUCUUUACAGAUUCUCGUUGUUUUGAAAAUGCUUCAGAUCCUGCUUUAUCUGGAUCUGAAGGGGAAACUGAGGCAGAACGGCAGCUCCCAGUUUGAGGAGCUCUCUUUGAUGAAAA
Molecule: long non-coding RNA, 6565 nt
Filed under: Sus scrofa (pig)
Lineage: Eukaryota; Metazoa; Chordata; Mammalia; Artiodactyla; Suidae
Description: lncRNA (ENSSSCG00045035472.1)
Source: RNAcentral